GACGAACGCUGGCGGCGUGCUUAACACAUGCAAGUCGAACGGAAAGGCCCUGCUUUUGUGGGGUGCUCGAGUGGCGAACGGGUGAGUAACACGUGAGUAACCUGCCCUUGACUUUGGGAUAACUUCAGGAAACUGGGGCUAAUACCGGAUAGGAGCUCCUGCUGCAUGGUGGGGGUUGGAAAGUUUCGGCGGUUGGGGAUGGACUCGCGGCUUAUCAGCUUGUUGGUGGGGUAGUGGCUUACCAAGGCUUUGACGGGUAGCCGGCCUGAGAGGGUGACCGGCCACAUUGGGACUGAGAUACGGCCCAGACUCCUACGGGAGGCAGCAGUGGGGAAUAUUGCACAAUGGGCGGAAGCCUGAUGCAGCAACCCCGCGUGCGGGAUGACGGCCUUCGGGUUGUAAACCGCUUUCGCCUGUGACGAAGCGGGAGUGACGGUAAUGGGUAAAGAAGCCCCGGCUAACUACGUG
This 468-nucleotide ribosomal RNA is filed under the name uncultured bacterium. RNAcentral's name for it is "partial 16S ribosomal RNA". It matches the Rfam family "Bacterial small subunit ribosomal RNA", at positions 28 to 507 of the family's 1533-position model. The record is from RNAcentral.